RNAcentral lists this ribosomal RNA (700 nucleotides) under uncultured bacterium. Its description in RNAcentral is "bacterial SSU rRNA". It matches the Rfam family "Bacterial small subunit ribosomal RNA", at positions 94 to 828 of the family's 1533-position model. The record is from RNAcentral.
AGUGGCGGACGGGUGAGUAACGCGUAAGAAUCUAACUUCAGGACGGGGACAACAGUUGGAAACGACUGCUAAUACCCGAUGUGCCGCAAGGUGAAACCUAAUUGGCCUGGAGAAGAGCUUGCGUCUGAUUAGCUAGUUGGUGGGGUAAAGGCCUACCAAGGCGACGAUCAGUAGCUGGUCUGAGAGGAUGAGCAGCCACACUGGGACUGAGACACGGCCCAGACUCCUACGGGAGGCAGCAGUGGGGAAUUUUCCGCAAUGGGCGAAAGCCUGACGGAGCAACGCCGCGUGAGGGAGGAAGGUCUUUGGAUUGUAAACCUCUUUUCUCAAGGAAGAAGUUCUGACGGUACUUGAGGAAUCAGCCUCGGCUAACUCCGUGCCAGCAGCCGCGGUAAUACGGGGGAGGCAAGCGUUAUCCGGAAUUAUUGGGCGUAAAGCGUCCGCAGGUGGUCAGCCAAGUCUGCCGUCAAAUCAGGUUGCUUAACGACCUAAAGGCGGUGGAAACUGGCAGACUAGAGAGCAGUAGGGGUAGCAGGAAUUCCCAGUGUAGCGGUGAAAUGCGUAGAGAUUGGGAAGAACAUCGGUGGCGAAAGCGUGCUACUGGGCUGUAUCUGACACUCACGGACGAAAGCUAGGGGAGCGAAAGGGAUUAGAUACCCCUGUAGUCCUAGCCGUAAACGAUGGAUACUAGGCGUGGCUU